Molecule: unclassified non-coding RNA, 240 nt
Filed under: soil metagenome
Description: partial contains 5.8S ribosomal RNA, internal transcribed spacer 2, and large subunit ribosomal RNA
Source: RNAcentral
AACACUGUUAACCUGCGGUACCUGCGGAGGGAUCGUUACAGAGUUGCAAAACUCCCUAAACCAUUGUGAACGUUACCUAAACCGUUGCUUCGGCGGGCGGCCCGGGUCCUUCCCGGCGCCCCUCGGCCCUCGCGGGCGCCCGCCGGAGGUAAACCAAACUAUUGCAUUGUAUGGCCUCUCUGAGUCUUCUGUACUGAAUAAGUCAAAACUUUUAACAAUGGAUCUCAGAUCGGAAGAGCA